Molecule: ribosomal RNA, 462 nt
Filed under: Triticum aestivum (bread wheat)
Lineage: Eukaryota; Viridiplantae; Streptophyta; Magnoliopsida; Poales; Poaceae
Description: partial small subunit ribosomal RNA
Source: RNAcentral
AUGCAGAUUUUUGUGAAGACGCUCACCGGCAAGACCAUCACACUUGAGGUCGAGUCCUCUGACACAAUUGACAAUGUCAAGGCAAAGAUCCAGGAUAAGGAGGGUAUCCCGCCGGACCAGCAGCGACUCAUCUUUGCUGGCAAGCAACUCGAGGAUGGGCGGACACUAGCUGAUUACAACAUCCAGAAAGAGUCCACCCUCCACUUGGUUCUCCGUCUCCGUGGUGGCAUGCAGAUCUUUGUCAAGACCUUGACCGGCAAGACCAUCACCCUGAAGGUGGAAUCUUCAGACACCAUCGACAACGUGAAGGCGAAGAUCCAGGACAAGGAGGGCAUCCCCCCGGACCAGCAGCGCCUGAUCUUUGCCGGUAAGCAGCUUGAGGAUGGUCGCACACUGGCAGAUUACAACAUUCAGAAGGAGUCUACUCUCCACCUGGUGCUUCGCCUUCGUGGUGGCCAGUGA